RNAcentral lists this ribosomal RNA (497 nucleotides) under uncultured bacterium. Its description in RNAcentral is "partial 16S ribosomal RNA". It matches the Rfam family "Bacterial small subunit ribosomal RNA", at positions 28 to 507 of the family's 1533-position model. The record is from RNAcentral.
GAUGAACGCUGGCGGCGUGCCUAAUACAUGCAAGUCGAGCGAACGGACGAGAAGCCUGCUUCUCUGAGGUUAGCGGCGGACGGGUGAGCAACACGUGGAUAACCUACCUAUAAGACUGGGAUAACUUCGGGAAACCGGAGCUAAUACCGGAUAAUAUUUUGAACCGCAUGGUUCAAAAGUGAAAGACGGUCUUGCUGUCACUUAUAGAUGCAUCCGCGCUGCAUUAGCUAGUUGGUAAGGUAACGGCUUACCAAGGCAACGAUGCAUAGCCGACCUGAGAGGGUGGUCGGCCACACUGGCACUGAGACACGGUCCAGACUCCUACGGGAGGCAGCAGUAGGGAAUCUUCCGCAAUGGGCGAAAGCCUAACGGAGGAACGCCGCGUGAGUGAUGAAGGUCUUCGGAUCGUAAAACUCUGUUAUUAGGGAAGAACAUAUGUGUAUGUGACCGUGAACAUCUUGACGGUACCUGAUCAGAAAGCCACGGCUAACUACGUG